UACUUUUUAUGGAUUUCUUCAGCCAGUGCUUCCUUUGUAGGCUUCCAAAAAUUGGAUGGAUGGAUGCUUAUAAUGUCUGAAAACCGACUCAAGAGAAACAUAAAUAAUAAAACGGCUAUUACUCGUAGUUUUUACCACCUUGUAGAAAAAAUCUUUAACUUGAAUAGAACGAUAAAUAAUUAGAAAUACAACAGUGGAUCACAAUC
Molecule: non-coding RNA, 206 nt
Organism: Schizosaccharomyces pombe (fission yeast)
Lineage: Eukaryota; Fungi; Ascomycota; Schizosaccharomycetes; Schizosaccharomycetales; Schizosaccharomycetaceae
Source: the annotation of a GenBank genome assembly